AACACCUCAAGUCAAGAGAGCUUUUUUUGAGUUCUUCGAGACUUGGAUUUGAGCGAUCCUAACCUUUUUAUAUUUAUAUAAAAAGAGCAGGUUGCUUGAAAUUCAGGUGCAGCUAGGCUUUAUCUUCUGAGCUAUAAGCAUAAUUUAUUUAGUCUUGAUUGACUAUUACUUUUGCUGCAGCUUACAUAAAGGUUGAUUAUUGCCCAAAGUUGGCUGACUGAUGCAGGACUUUAUCAGAGUAGCGCAAGCUUUCUGUUAAA
Molecule: unclassified non-coding RNA, 260 nt
Filed under: uncultured soil eukaryote
Lineage: Eukaryota
Description: sequence contains ITS2
Source: RNAcentral